This is a small nuclear RNA of Bos grunniens (domestic yak), 107 nucleotides long. The record is from Ensembl. NCBI's taxonomy places the organism in Eukaryota, Metazoa, Chordata, Mammalia, Artiodactyla, Bovidae.
GUGCUCACUUGGGCAACACAUAUACUAAAAUUGGAACGAUACAGAGAAGAUUAGUAUGGCCCCUGCGCAAGGAUGGCAUGCAAAUUCGUGAAGUGUUCCAUAUUUUU